Molecule: transfer RNA, 73 nt
Organism: Ovis aries (sheep)
Lineage: Eukaryota; Metazoa; Chordata; Mammalia; Artiodactyla; Bovidae
Rfam family: tRNA
About the family: Transfer RNA (tRNA) molecules are approximately 80 nucleotides in length. Their secondary structure includes four short double-helical elements and three loops (D, anti-codon, and T loops). Further hydrogen bonds mediate the characteristic L-shaped molecular structure. tRNAs have two regions of fundamental functional importance: the anti-codon, which is responsible for specific mRNA codon recognition, and the 3' end, to which the tRNAs corresponding amino acid is attached (by aminoacyl-tRNA synthetases). tRNAs cope with the degeneracy of the genetic code in two manners: having more than one tRNA (with a specific anti-codon) for a particular amino acid; and 'wobble' base-pairing, i.e. permitting non-standard base-pairing at the 3rd anti-codon position.
Source: Rfam
UCCCUGGUGGUCCAGUGGUUAGGACUCUGUGCUAUCACUACCAAGGGUGCAGGUUCAAUCCCUGGUCGGGGAA